CCGACCUUAGCUCAGUUGGUAGAGCGGAGGACUGUAGUGGUUGCAGGUUAAUCCUUAGGUCGCUUGUUCGAAUCCGGCAGGUUGGA
This 86-nucleotide transfer RNA is filed under the name Oryza brachyantha (malo sina). It matches the Rfam family "tRNA". From Rfam's summary of the family: Transfer RNA (tRNA) molecules are approximately 80 nucleotides in length. The record is from Rfam by way of RNAcentral. Lineage: Eukaryota; Viridiplantae; Streptophyta; Magnoliopsida; Poales; Poaceae.